RNAcentral lists this ribosomal RNA (552 nucleotides) under uncultured bacterium. RNAcentral describes it as "partial 16S ribosomal RNA". It matches the Rfam family "Bacterial small subunit ribosomal RNA", at positions 355 to 902 of the family's 1533-position model. The record is from RNAcentral.
UGGGGAAUUUUGGACAAUGGGCGAAAGCCUGAUCCAGCAAUGCCGCGUGUGUGAAGAAGGCCUUCGGGUUGUAAAGCACUUUUGUCCGGAAAGAAAUCCUUGGCUCUAAUACAGUCGGGGGAUGACGGUACCGGAAGAAUAAGCACCGGCUAACUACGUGCCAGCAGCCGCGGUAAUACGUAGGGUGCAAGCGUUAAUCGGAAUUACUGGGCGUAAGCGUGCGCAGGCGGUUUGCUAAGACCGAUGUGAAAUCCCCGGGCUCAACCUGGGAACUGCAUUGGUGACUGGCAGGCUAGAGUAUGGCAGAGGGGGGUAGAAUUCCACGUGUAGCAGUGAAAUGCGUAGAGAUGUGGAGGAAUACCGAUGGCGAAGGCAGCCCCCUGGGGCCAAUACUGACGCUCAUGCACGAAAGCGUGGGGAGCAAACAGGAUUAGAUACCCUGGUAGUCCACGCCCUAAACGAUGUCACUAGUUGUUGGGGAUUCAUUUCCUAGUAACGUAGCUAACGCGUGAAGUUGACCGCCUGGGGAGUACGGUCGCAAGAUUAAAACUU